This 272-nucleotide ribosomal RNA is filed under the name Bacillus sp. CR9. RNAcentral describes it as "partial 16S ribosomal RNA". It matches the Rfam family "Bacterial small subunit ribosomal RNA", at positions 96 to 357 of the family's 1533-position model. Lineage: Bacteria; Bacillati; Bacillota; Bacilli; Caryophanales; Bacillaceae. The record is from RNAcentral.
CGGCGGACGGGUGAGUACACGUGGGUAACCUGCCUGUAAGACUGGGAUAACUCCGGGAAACCGGGGCUAAUACCGGAUGCUUGAUUGAACCGCAUGGUUCAAUCAUAAAAGGUGGCUUUUAGCUACCACUUACAGAUGGACCCGCGGCGCAUUAGCUAGUUGGUGAGGUAACGGCUCACCAAGGCGACGAUGCGUAGCCGACCUGAGAGGGUGAUCGGCCACACUGGGACUGAGACACGGCCCAGACUCCUACGGGAGGCAGCAGUGGUCAU